GUAAGGAAUAUUGGACAAUGGGGGAAACCCUGAUCCAGCCAUGCCGCGUGAGUGAAGAAGGCCUUCGGGUUGUAAAGCUCUUUCAGAUGUGAAGAUGAUGACGGUAACAUCAGAAGAAGCUCCGGCUAACUUCGUGCCAGCAGCCGCGGUAAUACGAAGGGAGCGAGCGUUGUUCGGAAUCACUGGGCGUAAAGAGUGCGUAGGCGGUUAUACAAGUCAGGAGUGAAAUCCCAGGGCUCAACCCUGGAAUUGCUUUUGAAACUGUAUAGCUAGAGUCCCGGAGGGGUUAAUGGAAUUCCGAGUGUAGAGGUGAAAUUCGCAGAUAUUCGGAGGAACACCAGUGGCGAAGGCGAUUAACUGGACGGGCACUGACGCUGAGGCACGAAAGCGUGGGGAUCAAACAGGAUUAGAAACCCUAGUAGUCC
This 425-nucleotide ribosomal RNA is filed under the name uncultured bacterium. Its description in RNAcentral is "partial 16S ribosomal RNA". It matches the Rfam family "Bacterial small subunit ribosomal RNA", at positions 354 to 796 of the family's 1533-position model. The record is from RNAcentral.